Molecule: long non-coding RNA, 1330 nt
Filed under: Homo sapiens (human)
Lineage: Eukaryota; Metazoa; Chordata; Mammalia; Primates; Hominidae
Description: HSALNT0059396
Source: RNAcentral
AGAGGCACCGGAAGGCACAGGCCGCGGCCCGGGGCUCGUCGGCCGCGCCCUCUCCGGCUGCGCACUGACCACGCAUCGCGCGCCUUCUUGGUCUCCGGGCAAGCGCAGCAGGGCUUCAGCGGCUUCUUCUCCUGAGACUCAGGCGGGGCAGGGUUUGAGUCAACCAGACCCGGCAUCUUUCGCGCCAAAAGCAGCUAUGAGCGGAGACAGCCAAAUCUAUGCCAGCCUCGGCAAACGCCGAUUCGUCCGCAGUCACUUCCGGCAGUCGCUCUAAAAAGUACAGGAAGUCCUGCUUCUCUCUGACAGGUGGGGAAUUUAAAAGGAGCGCGUGCGCAGAAGAGGCAAAAUUCGGGCCUUAACGAGAGGGUGCCCCCUUCAGCGCAUGCGCAAGGAGGCCCGCUGAACGCUCACCUGGACUGUGGUAUUUACACUCUAGGACUCUAGGUCAUAGAGUAUUUGUUAAAUCAACUUGGGGAGGGCUCACGAAGAAAGAAAGCAGCAAGACAACUGAGAGAUCUCGUAACACCCGCUCCUCCCCACCCAAUAUCGAAACGGAAGCCCAAGAUGGUGAAAUGAUUUGUUCAAGCCAAACAGGAGAAACCAUAAGUGAAAGCCAGUUCCCUUGAAUAACAGACUAGUUUCCCCCUUUUCUUUUAUCCGCCUUCUUCCUGAUCCCCACACACUGCAGGCCUUUCCUCUCUUUCAUUGACCUAUUUAAAAAUGAAUAGCAAGACAUAGAACCACCGAGUCCACAACUAUUGGGGGAAUUUAAAAGGUCCUAUAACCCCCUAUACACCUCCUACGCACAUUAAAUCCUCAGCUAAUUUGCAUUUAUAGCCCCCCUCCAACUGAUCUGAAUUCAGUAUGAAUUAUUCAGUCAUAUAUUCGUUAAUAUACUGAUGAAUAAAAUUGAAAAAUACCAUUUCCAUAGCAUUUCCUCAGGUACAUAGAUAAACUGGUGCCCGUCUUAUUCGCAAUGAAAUGGAUAUAAUCAUUGGAUUUUUUUCCUGCAGAGUAUUGUUGGAAACAGGCAAUAAACUCUUUUUUAUUUUAUUUUAUUUUAUUUUUUGGAGAUAGGGUCUUGCUCUGUCGCCCAGGCUGGAGUGAAGUGGCACGAUCUUGGCUGACUGCAACCUCCACCUCCUGGGUUCAAGCAAUUCUCCUGCCUCAGCCUCCUGAGUAGCUGGGAUUACAGGUGUGCACCACCACGCCCGAGUAAUUUUUGCAUUUUUUAGUAGAGACGGGGUUUCGCCAUGCUGGCCAGGCUGGUCUCGAACUCUGACCUCAGGUGAUCCGCCCACAUCAGCCUCCAAAAGUGCUAGGUUAUAGG